RNAcentral lists this ribosomal RNA (251 nucleotides) under uncultured Actinomycetales bacterium. RNAcentral describes it as "partial 16S ribosomal RNA". It matches the Rfam family "Bacterial small subunit ribosomal RNA", at positions 86 to 339 of the family's 1533-position model. Lineage: Bacteria; Bacillati; Actinomycetota; Actinomycetes; Actinomycetales. The record is from RNAcentral.
GCCGGAUCAGUGGCGAACGGGUGAGUAACACGUGGGCAACCUGCCCUUCACUCUGGGAUAACCCCGGGAAACCGGGGCUAAUACCGGAUACGACCCCUGCAGGCAUCUGCGGGGGUGGAAAGUUUUUCGGUGAAGGAUGGGCCCGCGGCCUAUCAGCUUGUUGGUGAGGUAGUGGCUCACCAAGGCGACGACGGGUAGCCGGCCUGAGAGGGCGACCGGCCACACUGGGACUGAGACACGGCCCAGACUCC